RNAcentral lists this ribosomal RNA (253 nucleotides) under uncultured bacterium. RNAcentral describes it as "partial 16S ribosomal RNA". It matches the Rfam family "Bacterial small subunit ribosomal RNA", at positions 524 to 776 of the family's 1533-position model. The record is from RNAcentral.
UACGAAGGAUGCAAGCGUUAUCCGGAAUGAUUGGGCGUAAAGGGUCCGCAGGUGGCAGUGUAAGUCUGCUGUCAAAGAAUGAGGCUUAACCUCAUCAAGGCAGUGGAAACUACACAGCUAGAGUACGGUCGGGGUAGAAGGAAUUCCUGGUGUAGCGGUGAAAUGCGUAGAGAUCAGGAAGAACACCGGUGGCGAAAGCGUUCUGCUAGACCUGUACUGACACUGAGGGACGAAAGCUAGGGGAGCGAAUGGG